Long non-coding RNA from Selaginella moellendorffii, 341 nucleotides. RefSeq lists it as uncharacterized. Lineage: Eukaryota; Viridiplantae; Streptophyta; Lycopodiopsida; Selaginellales; Selaginellaceae. The record is from RefSeq and is a predicted model, not a curated record. The transcript is spliced from 2 exons.
CAAUUCACACAACACAAUGGCAAAGAUUCAACUCUCGUCUAUAGUUUUGCAGCUUUUGUUCCUCUGUCUUCUGGUUUCAAUGACUCUUGCAAUAGGUGAGAAUGGCAUUGUCACCAGAAAACUUCUUCAAGGAUGUAAAAAUGUUCUUGAAGGAUGCUCGAAGGAUAGUGAUUGUUGCCAAGGCCACUGUGCCCUUGCAGGCUUUAACAUUGGAGGCAUUCCUGUUGGAACAUGCGAGCCUAUCUAAUUAAUGUUUACUAAUUAGAAAGUUUCAAACUGCUGAAACUUUAUUCAUGUGAAACCUUAUGUUUUUCAAUAAUAAUAAAUAUCUUUGAAGCUUU